Molecule: ribosomal RNA, 393 nt
Filed under: uncultured bacterium
Lineage: Bacteria
Description: bacterial SSU rRNA
Rfam family: Bacterial small subunit ribosomal RNA
Source: RNAcentral
AACGAACGCUGGCGGCAGGCUUAACACAUGCAAGUCGAACGCCCCGCAAGGGGAGUGGCAGACGGGUGAGUAACGCGUGGGAAUCUACCCAGUUCUACGGAACAACAGUUGGAAACGACUGCUAAUACCGUAUACGCCCUAAGGGGAAAGAUUUAUCGGAAUUGGAUGAGCCCGCGUUGGAUUAGCUAGUUGGUGGGUAAUGGCCUACCAAGGCGACGAUCCAUAGCUGGUCUGAGAGGAUGAUCAGCCACACUGGGACUGAGACACGGCCCAGACUCCUACGGGAGGCAGCAGUGGGGAAUUAUUGGACAAUGGGCGCAAGCCUGAUCCAGCCAUGCCGCGUGAGUGAUGAAGGCCUUAGGGUUGUAAAGCUCUUUCAGUAGGGAAGAUAAU